UAGGCGCACGGGUGAGUAACACGUAGGUAAUGUACCUUUGGGUGGGGAAUAACUCAGGGAAACUUAAGCUAAUACCGCAUAAUGCGAUAACUUCUUCGGAAGAUUUUGUUAAAGAUUUAUCGCCUGAAGAGCAGCCUGCGGCAGAUUAGCUAGUUGGUAAGGUAACGGCUUACCAAGGCUACGAUCCGUAACCGGCCUGAGAGGGCGGUCGGUCACACUGACACUGACAUACGGGUCAG
RNAcentral lists this ribosomal RNA (239 nucleotides) under uncultured bacterium. RNAcentral's name for it is "partial 16S ribosomal RNA". It matches the Rfam family "Bacterial small subunit ribosomal RNA", at positions 95 to 334 of the family's 1533-position model. The record is from RNAcentral.